Molecule: ribosomal RNA, 331 nt
Filed under: uncultured eukaryote
Lineage: Eukaryota
Description: partial 18S ribosomal RNA
Rfam family: Eukaryotic small subunit ribosomal RNA
Source: RNAcentral
CCCUUAGAUGUUCUGGGCCGCACGCGCGCUACACUGACGAAGUCAGCGAGCAUGUCCUACGCCGACAGGUGCGGGGAAUCUUGUCAAACUUCGUCGUGAUGGGGAUUGAUUUUUGAAAUUCUUGAUCAUAAACGAGGAAUUCCUAGUAAGCACAAGUCAGCAGCUUGCGUUGAUUACGUCCCUGCCCUUUGUACACACCGCCCGUCGCUACUACCGAUUGAAUGGUUUAGUGAGAUCUUCGGAUUGGCGCCACUGCAGCUCAGCAAUGGGCUUGGUGGAUGCCGAAAAGUUGAUCAAACUUGAUCAUUUAGAGGAAGUAAAAGUCGUAACA